AUACGGAGGAUGCAAGCGUUAUCCGGAUUUAUUGGGUUUAAAGGGUGCGUAGGCGGAUGAUUAAGCGUGAGGUGAAAUGCCACUGCUCAACAGUGGAACUGCCUCGCGAACUGGUUGUCUUGAAUGCUCCUGCCGUGGGAGGAAUGUGUGGUGUAGCGGUGAAAUGCAUAGAGAUCACACAGAACACCGAUUGCGAAGGCAUCUCACGAAGGGGUGAUUGACGCUGAGGCACGAAAGCGUGGGGAUCAAACAGGAUUAGAUACCCUGGUAGUCCACGCAGUAAACGAUGAUAACUAACCGCUGGGUCGUAGUGAUUCAGUGGCCAAGCGUAAGCGAUAAGUUAUCCACCUGGGGAGUACGACCGCAAGGUUGAAACUCAAAGGAAUUGACGGGG
RNAcentral lists this ribosomal RNA (394 nucleotides) under uncultured bacterium. RNAcentral's name for it is "partial 16S ribosomal RNA". It matches the Rfam family "Bacterial small subunit ribosomal RNA", at positions 523 to 918 of the family's 1533-position model. The record is from RNAcentral.